GCAUUAACACUAAAUUACCGUAUAAUGAUGUUAAAUAAAAUUUUACAAAAAAAGUAACUAUCUAUGUACAAUAUUAUUAAUAUUAAUGAUCUCGCAUGUGUGUAAAUGAAACAGUGAGAGAAGUGGUGUGUUGGCAAUGAUUAGAACGAAAUAGUUCCAUAGCCAAAAUAUAUAUUUUUUGACUUUCCGCGUGUAUUUAAGAAUUUGUUUGGGUAUUUGUUAAGUUUGAACAUUUUUUUAAAUCUCUGGUGAAAUAAAAACGUUAUGUUAACGGUAAAAAAAUAUUACGUGCCGAAACCGUGGUCGCGCAUUAAUAAUGUUAAUAGUCACUUGUUUGUUUUCUCUUUCAGCCGUUUGUCUGCAGUCUGCAGUCUGUACGCCAUAUUGCAGUGUGUUUUAAUAUAUUACUGACCGUGAAAUAACGUACAGUUUGUGUUUCAGGAUUUUGUGUUAAUAUUGUGUAUUUUAACUUUGUUAUAUUAUUUAUUAUCUACUAUUGUAAUGAUGGAAUUUGUUAUCGUUUUGAUAUUUUGUGUGGUUCUUGUGAUUGCUGUAAUGGUAAUUGGUUCCGGGAUGGGGAAAGCUACUUCGUCGCAGCGUCAGAUGGACAUCAUUAACGUCGCUCAGAACUUAUAUGUUUUAAUUAGAAAAGGCGACUUGAAGAAAUGUGACGUUACGCAGACGACCGCGUUUCUUCUCAACAUCGCAAAGUCAACUGUUCUCAAGUACUACAAGAAAGACAUUGAAGAAGUUUCAACACCAGGAAAAAAGAGGAAAAAAAGGCCACAGGAAGGAAAGUCACUUGACACAGUCGACAAUUUCACAGUAAAUGCAAUCAGGAAUGCAAUUUACAGGAUGUACGCUGAAGGUUUGAAUGUUACAGUCGACACCAUUUUGAAAGAAAUCAGGGAAAGACAAAUAGAUUAUUAUGGUGGAAGAUCGAGUCUUCAUAAAUUGUUAAAGAAGAUGGGAUUUUCAUGGACAACUGUUGAUGGACGAAAAGCUUUGAUAGAGAAUGAAAACAUAGAAUUGCAGCGAAUAGAUUUCUUGAGAAAGUAUAAAGAAGAAAAAGAAAGAGGUGCCAAUUUCAUAUUUGUUGAUGAAACAUGGAUUUUCCAGAGAGGCAAGGCAUUAAUUUAUUUGAAAAUUUGUUCUGUGGUCCAAUACAAAGUAUUUCAUUUCCAUUUCAUAUAUUUUUCAGGAACUGUAUCAAAGUCAUGGCAGGACAAGAGUCUACAAUCUGCGAAGAGACGUACUGUUGGAGAUGGUAAAAGGUUUAUUGUUGUUAAUGCUGGAGGGCGCACUGGCUUUGUGCCAGGAGCAGGAUUACUUUUUGUUUCAGGUCAGAAGACUGCAGACUACCAUGGCGAGAUGAAUGGGGAAACUUUCUUGAUGUGGUUUGAAGACAUGUUGGUGCAUCUUGAGGAACCCAGUGUCAUCAUAAUGGACAAUGCUUCAUAUCACAGCACCCAGGUUGAGAAAACACCUACAACGAACUGGACCAAGGCUGCACUGAUCGCGUGGCUGGAGAAGAAUGGGAUAAAACAUGAAAAUAAUUUGUUGAAAGUGGAGCUGCUGAGAAUAGCUAAACAAAACAAGCCCCGAAUACGGUAUAUUAUUUCGUUUUUUUCACAGCAUUUCUUUAAAAGUGAGAUAGUUGCAAAAAAUUACGUAUACACCUUGUUCUAACACACUUUUCAGAUAUGAGGUAGACGAGUUGGCUCGUAACUAUGGCCACGAAAUUCUACGACUCCCACCCUAUCACUGCCACUAUAAUGCAAUCGAACUAGUUUGGGCUCAAUGUAAACACCAUUACAAUAGUAACGUGGGGCGGGCCAAGAGAUUUGACAAUGAUGCAGUUGCAGCCAUCUGGAAAGAGGCUCUUGAUGCUUCCACACCAGAGAGAUGGGCGAGGUGUGUGGAUCACGUGGAGAAGCUAAUUCAAGCAGACUGGGAGAGAGAAGUCCACAUAGACAGCGGCACCAUUCCUCCACUCAUCAUCCACCUCGGCGAGGAUAGUUCAAGUGAAGACAGUGACAGCGAAGAAUUUGAGGUUACGACACAGCAAGUAGAUGGAGACAGUGAAGUACUGGCAGUUCCUCUUGAUGAUUUACCCGGGUGUUCUUAUUGAGGUCUGUAUGUAAUAAACACCUGGGCAACUGUAAGUAUUGGGGUUUGAAACAUUUUUUUUUUCUUUUAUGCAUUCCCAUUAAGUAUGUUGAUUACUGGAACUUUAUGUAUUAACUUUAUAUUACACGUAUUAUGAAAUUAAUAAUAAAUUUCAUUUCUGGAUUCGUAUAGGUGUAUGUGAAACAUUUUAUUUUGUUGUGUGUCUUCAUUUUUCAGUGAACUUACUUGGAAAACAAAAAGCCAGUCCCCAUCCAGGGCCACAAAUAAAUAAUGCAUAUAAGUGGUAUAGAAAUUACUGUCAAUUCUUCACCACAAUUUUACUGUUCAUAAAAUUAUGAUUUUGUCUAAUAAGUAUACUCAGGAAAAUGUAUAUAACCAUAUUUUUAUUUGUGGCCUUAACCGGCAAAAUGGUAGGGGUUUAUUAAAUAAAAGAAGAAAAUUCAUUUUUAAAUGUUUUCAUCUGAAUUUGUUAAUUUUAUUAAACCUUCAAUCCUUAGUCUUUUCCAGAUUGCUUAGAUGGACAGCCAUAUGUAUAAUUUACAAUACUUUUUUUUUCAGAUGCAGAAAACUGUGUUGAACUGUACUAAAUGAUGAUAUUUAUUGCUUACAUAAAUGUUGUAAAUUUAUAUAUUCUCCUAAAAAUUUACUUUAAAUUAUAUGUUAUUUCUUUAGCUAAACAAACUUAUUUUUUUAA
Bacillus rossius redtenbacheri is the source of this 2824-nucleotide RNA transcript. RefSeq lists it as uncharacterized. Lineage: Eukaryota; Metazoa; Arthropoda; Insecta; Phasmatodea; Bacillidae. The transcript is spliced from 5 exons. The record is from RefSeq and is a predicted model, not a curated record.